UCUGCAGCAAGUAUCCUUCUCAAGGUCUCUCCUUGAGGACUGAGAGAGAAUUAGGAUUCACGCUCUGCACAAGCUCUUGGCAGACCUCCUGGAUGCCAUGCUGGGGAACACUCUGGUAGAGUCCCCAGACACAGACAGGCUCCAGAACAUCUUGGAGCAUGUCAACUUCUGGAUCAGGUCCAGAGUGUCCCAGGAGAGAGCCAGGGCCAUAAGGAGCAGCAUAGCCCUGCUCUGAUUUACCAUCACCCUCCCUGAAAUUGAUAAUUCAGCACAGUUCCACAAGAUGGGGAACCUCGUGGCUCAGCUGGGUCUGUAUAUCAGUGACCCAGCUAAGGACAUCAGCCAGCACAUCUGUACGUCAGUGACCUAGCCAAGGAUAUCAGCCAGCAGGCCAGGGAGGGUAUUUACUGGCUGUACCAACUGCUGCUGCACCAGAGAGGCACCCAGGAUACUCCACCCACUGGAGGGAGCCCUGCUAUUCUGUUGGACCAGAGGUGCAGUGAGGGUUCCUCCCACUGUGUAGCCACCACUGGGAAUGGAACAAUGCAGGCACUGAAACCAGAAAGAGAAAUUUGACAAAGAGAAGCUGCCAAGGAACAGCUGUCAUGGGAAAACUGAAGGAAUAGAGGCAGGAGCUCACUGUUCAAUGUGGCAGGGGUUGGCACUGGAGGUCACUAGAGAGGAAGACAAGAGUCCAUCCCAGGGUUCCAGUUACCAUUAAUCCCCCCUGAUUCCUGGGGGCACCCAAGUCUCUGACAAGUUCUUGUUCUCUUGAGGCAGGUGGACAUCACAGCCAAGAUGAUGUGCCAGCUCCAAACCAUCCAUUCCUUUUGCCAAGCCCCUGAGGCACUGCAUCUCUUAGGACACCUGUGAUGGGUUGUAUAACCCUACACUGGGCCAGGAGGAGUUAGAGAGCAGUCCUGGGCCGCUGUGAUCCCACCCCACUCCACCUGCAAGAACCUGCUCAAGAUGGAAGAGAAGUUUAAAAAGGAGCCUGUCAUGGGAUGUAUGUACCCCUGCACUAGCCCAGCAACCAGUGGGUUAACACAGCCACUGCCAGCCACUGCUGACUGACAAGCUAACAGCAGCUGGAAGGAUAAAAGGGCUGGGAGCAGAAGGGCAGGGCAGCUAAAGAGGAGUGAGGAGGCAGGACAAAGGAACUCCUGUCAGCAGACUGCUAGAGAGCCGCCCAGGGAUAUCACCCCAGAAAGAGGUGAACAGGCCAACAGACUGAAAAGCCUACAGAGGCCUGAAGGAAGGUAGGAAGCAGUUCAGGGCACAGUCAGAGUCAGUAAACCCUAACUCUUCUUCUCUAGCUUGAAGGCCCUGAGCUGGAACCAGGUGGGUGUGGGGGCAGGCCUGGGUUCCCCUAAAUCCUCCUGAUGCACCUGGGAACAGAGAGGACAUCAUUUGCACUGACGCCCCACCUCACAGAGCCAGACAGCUCAGAACGGGGAGAAACAGUAGAGAACAAGAGACUUACCUCAGAAGAUCCUGAAUAAGGGUGCGGCAGGUGUCUGGAGAGAUUCUGCUAGCAGCAGCUACCCCAGGCCUGAGAGGAGGGGCUAGCCUGUCCCUAAGACUACAGAACCCUUUGAUCUAACUUCUGGAGGAUCAUUUGACUGCCCAGUGGAGAGGGAAGGCCCGGGCUUCUGUACUAACCGCGCAUUUCAUGGAGGGUACAUAGACUCUUUUUCCCCUCUCGAAGAGGAGGAGAAGGUAGAAACAUUAUAAGCCCUGAGCCAAAGGUGUGCCACUCACAGGUGACCAGAAGUGGGUUGAAAACCCUUUCUUUUGUGGGGACGUUGGACUGUAUACAUUUUGUUGGACUCUUAACCUGGAACUCAACUGGUGAACAGGCUAGAGGGCCAAGGCCUCAGAUCCUCAUCACUAGGGCCCUACCAAAUUCACAGUUCAUUUUGGUCAAUUUCACAGUCAUAGGAAUUUAAAAAUCAUAAUUUUCAUGAUUUCAGCUAUUUAAAUCUGAAAUUUCACACUGUUGUAAUUC
Molecule: long non-coding RNA, 2008 nt
Organism: Mauremys reevesii (Reeves's turtle)
Lineage: Eukaryota; Metazoa; Chordata; Testudines; Geoemydidae
Exons: 5
Source: RefSeq, a predicted model, not a curated record